RNAcentral lists this ribosomal RNA (475 nucleotides) under uncultured organism. RNAcentral describes it as "partial 16S ribosomal RNA". It matches the Rfam family "Bacterial small subunit ribosomal RNA", at positions 334 to 800 of the family's 1533-position model. The record is from RNAcentral.
CACUCCUACGGGAGGCAGCAGUGGGGAAUUUUGGACAAUGGGCGAAAGCCUGAUCCAGCAAUGCCGCGUGAGUGAAGAAGGCCUUCGGGUUGUAAAGCUCUUUUGUCAGGGAAGAAACGGUGAGAGCUAAUAUCUUUUGCUAAUGACGGUACCUGAAGAAUAAGCACCGGCUAACUACGUGCCAGCAGCCGCGGUAAUACGUAGGGUGCAAGCGUUAAUCGGAAUUACUGGGCGUAAAGCGUGCGCAGGCGGUUUUGUAAGUCUGAUGUGAAAUCCCCGGGCUCAACCUGGGAAUUGCAUUGGAGACUGCAAGGCUAGAAUCUGGCAGAGGGGGGUAGAAUUCCACGUGUAGCAGUGAAAUGCGUAGAUAUGUGGAGGAACACCGAUGGCGAAGGCAGCCCCCUGGGUCAAGAUUGACGCUCAUGCACGAAAGCGUGGGGAGCAAACAGGAUUAGAAACCCGAGUAGUCCCAUGA